RNAcentral lists this ribosomal RNA (460 nucleotides) under uncultured bacterium. Its description in RNAcentral is "partial 16S ribosomal RNA". It matches the Rfam family "Bacterial small subunit ribosomal RNA", at positions 338 to 795 of the family's 1533-position model. The record is from RNAcentral.
CCUACGGACGGCAGCAGUGAGGAAUAUUGGUCAAUGGACGAGAGUCUGAACCAGCCACGUAGCGUGAAGGAUGACUGCCCUAUGGGUUGUACACUUCUUUUAUAUGGGAAUAAAAUGUUCCACGUGUGGGAUUUUGUAUGUACAAUAUGAAUAAGGAUCGGCUCACUCCGUGCCAGCAGCCGCGGUAAUACGGAGGAUCCGAGCGUUAUCCGGAUUUAUUGGGUUUAAAGGGAGCGUAGGUGGAUUGUUAAGUCAGUUGUGAAAGUUUGCGGCUGAACCGUAAAAUUGCAGUUGAAACUGGCAGUCUGGAGUACAGUAGAGGUGGGCGGAAUUCGUGGUGUAGCGGUGAAAUGCUUAGAUAUCACGAAGAACUCCGAUUGCGAAGGCAGUUCACUGGACUGCAACUGACACUGAGGCUCGAAAGUGUGGGUAUCAAACAGGAUUAGAUACCCCGGUAGUC